AGUCCUGUAGCUUAGUGGUUAGAGCGCUCACCUCAUAAGCGAGGGGGCCUGGGUUUGAUUCCCAGUCAGGACGA
Molecule: non-coding RNA, 74 nt
Organism: Callorhinchus milii (elephant shark)
Lineage: Eukaryota; Metazoa; Chordata; Chondrichthyes; Chimaeriformes; Callorhinchidae
Source: the annotation of a RefSeq genome assembly